This 497-nucleotide ribosomal RNA is filed under the name uncultured bacterium. RNAcentral's name for it is "partial 16S ribosomal RNA". It matches the Rfam family "Bacterial small subunit ribosomal RNA", at positions 28 to 507 of the family's 1533-position model. The record is from RNAcentral.
GAUGAACGCUGGCGGCGUGCCUAAUACAUGCAAGUCGAGCGGACAGACGCGGAGCUUGCUCCUCUGACGUUAGCGGCGGACGGGUGAGUAACACGUGGAUAACCUACCUAUAAGACUGGGAUAACUUCGGGAAACCUGAGCUAAUACCGGAUAAUAUAUUGAACCGCAUGGUUCAAUAGUGAACGACGGUUUUGCUGUCACUUAUAGAUGGAUCCGCGCCGCAUUAGCUAGUUGGUAAGGUAACGGCUUACCAAGGCAACGAUGCGUAGCCGACCUGAGAGGGUGAUCGGCCACACUGGAACUGAGACACGGUCCAGACUCCUACGGGAGGCAGCAGUAGGGAAUCUUCCGCAAUGGGCGAAAGCUUGACGGAGCAACGCCGCGUGAGUGAUGAAGGUCUUCGGAUCGUAAAACUCUGUUAUUAGGGAAGAACAAAUGUGUAAGUAACUAUGCACGUCUUGACGGUACCUAAUCAGAAAGCAACGGCUAACUACGUG